Molecule: long non-coding RNA, 5352 nt
Organism: Apis cerana (Asiatic honeybee)
Lineage: Eukaryota; Metazoa; Arthropoda; Insecta; Hymenoptera; Apidae
Source: RefSeq, a predicted model, not a curated record
CCUCUUGCAGGCACCGCGCGUCCAAAGAUCGGCGGAAAUUGCGCCAACCACGCACAAGUUUCGAGCAGGCCCGAAGGUUGUCCCUGUUCGCGGUGGAAUUUCGUGGAUGAAUUUGGUGGAUGAGACGGGUGAUCUCGAGAGGGAAGGAAUCGUGGAGGAAAUUGUCGUGACAGAAAACGCUUCUUCCCCGUCGCGAGAGCAACCCCCGGGUUAAAAAGAAUGCGCGUUCGAAGUUUCCGGUGCUCGAGAAGUGGCCAGGAAGAAAGUAAGAUGGAGGGAGGGCGGGAGAAGCAGGCUCGUCACGAAGCGAGGUGCGCAAGCAGCGCAUAGAUACGUGGGCAAACUCGGGGAAGACGUAUUGCACGUGAGUAGAGGACGACACGGGAGAAUGUUGGAUGAGUGACGUGCGAUGCGAUGAAGUUAACGUGGUCGAUUAUCGAGUUAAGUCUCUACUACGGUUCCCGGCGUCGAAUAUUCGCGACAAUCGGCAAUCCUUCCCACGUCGUGUUCCACACGCUCUAUUCCACCUGUGUGUAUGUAUACGCACACGCAUACGCACAUCUCAUGCGAGUUUUUAUUCUCGUCACCGAGCGAUGAUGGAAAAGCAGUACAGGGUGAUUUAUGAAAGGUGGCCGGUGUUAAUUACAAGGUUAAUAGAGAUCGUACGAUAAAAGAGUUUAAGUUGGUGAUGGAUAUCGAUUGCUGGAAAUUGCUUCAACAUCUCUCGUUCCUGUUUAUUUUUUUUUUUCGAAUAAACUGAUUUAUCGUCGUGAUUUUUGACAACCGAAAAAUUUUUCCAAAUGGAUAGAAUGCCCAAAUAUACGAAUCUAUGUUUCAACCCUUGUAUUUUUCUAUCUAGAAAAUUAGAAGCGUCUAAAUCAUCCUUCCAAAGUUAUCCGUCGGAUACGAAUUGACACAACGUGGACGCAUUUAAAAUGCUUCGAUCUUAAAAAUUACGCGAAUAAAAAUCCUCUUCCACGCGCCCUUUAAUCGAGAGUGGAAAAAUUCGCCAGAAUCAGAACGCCUCGCCUCUCCCUCCUGCCCCUCCCAAGUUUUCCGCGCGCGGCUCUCGACGACGUGACCGUUUCCAUUCCACUCCGCUCGGCCUCCUAUUCUUUUUCCACCAUCGUUAUCGGCAAGGAUAGCCGCCGUCCGUGGAGAGAGCCGACACCGUUCUCGUCACUCCUUCCCCCUCUCCCUUCCUUCCUUCCUUCCUUCUUCUUCCACCUCCGCCUAGACGCCCACGGUAGUAGACACGUUUUCUCUCCAUUCUUCGUUUUCCCUCCGCGGAGCACCGUGUCAGGCGCUCUUCUCCUCCAGGCGCUCGAGCUUCGGGAGAGGAGAGGAGAGGAGGCGAUCAAUACGUCGCUCCAGAAGCGGAGAAGGAACACGGGCCACUGCUUGUUGGGAGACUUUGAGAGGAGAGUGGUGGGGAGGAGGUUGGGAGGGGAGGGGAUGGUGGGAAAACGGAGGUUUUCCAGGAGCGAUUCUCCUCGAGAGGAGAGAGAGGGGGCACGAGCCUGGCUUCGAGCAGAUAUGCCCGGCUGUAUGAGCGCGAAAAGAUGAUGAGACGAAGGGUGGCCCCUGCCUUUUCCCCCCUCCCACUCCGCUCAUCCGGUUGACAGGGAUUCGAGGCCGAGACUGCACGAUUUCGGCCGAGGCUGAACGACUUCAGGGCUGUACCCCCCUGUUCCUUUGUCUGUGGAUCAUUUUGCGGCCACGACGUUUCUUCGAUUCGAUUCGUUUUUUUUUUGUUUGUUUAUUCGUUCGCUCGUCGACGCUCUCGUUUGCGUGAUUUUGAAAACGGGGGAAUUUUGUAGAGUAAUGUUGUGGAAGUAAGGAGCUGUUUUCUUUUUUUAUCUGCAUCUUUUUAAAAUUUGUACCGAGGAAAUUAAGAAUAGAGAAUUUAUAUUAUUGCGGAAAUGGUGGAUGGAGAUGUAUUGGAAAAAUAUUCGAUCGUUGAGCGUGUAAUGCAAACGAUGUAAACGAUGAAAACGGGCCUCCUUUCUCUGAAUACUCCGAGCCGCGUAUAAACUUCCUUCACCCUCAACGCUGCGUACAUAAUGCAUGAAUUUCUGCGCGAGAAUUUCAUAAGAGAAAUUCCUUACACCCAAUCGCUAAUACACCAAGUGUUACACGGUUCGUAGCCGGUGGAUGACUCACGUGUUUCAACGCGAUCUUCGAUCCUCGAUAUCUUACGUACAAAUAUCUCUUCGACAACUUUGUAAUUUCACGAAGAACAGAUAUUAACAAAUUGUCUCCGAAACGAUCGUGAAAUAUCAGAAAAAAAAAAAACAUUCGAUAAUAAUAUCGUUCGAGUUAUCCUUCGAAGCAGAAACGAAACGAAAAAAAAAAAAAAUUUAUCAGAGACACACGAGAUGUUCUCUGAACCCGUCCAAAUUUUCCCUCCCAAAAAACCUAUAAACCAAAUAUUAUCCAUCACGUUUCGAGCCUCAUUUGUCCCUUUUACUCUCAACAAUCAACCCAUCACCCUCCCCCUCUCCCCUCCUGCAAACCAAUUACUCCCCCCACCCACCCGAGAUCCAACCGCAUAUUUCCAACCACUCCACCCACCCACGGUAUCCUCCUCCCAAUCUUACCUCUCCUCUGUCGGUAACAUCCGCGUCACGGGCGAAAGAAAAAGAAAAGAAAAGGAAGAAGAAAAAAGAAAGAAAGAAAGAAAGAAAGAAAAAAGAAACGUUGGCGCGCGUCGAAUAAUGCGAUAUCAAUACUCAUCUCGCGGAGCGGACGUGGUGCAGGGCGCCCGAGUCCGGUGCUACGCCGCUGUACGGUGGCAUCCCCCUGGCCUUGGGUGGGGGGAGGGUGCGCGCGGUCCAAUCAUCGCAGAAUCCGGGGGAUGCCCGUGGGUUCGGCCGGGCAGCCGUGGGAGAGACGCCCCGCGACUCGAGGAUUCGCGGUUGUCGCCGAAUGCCUUCUCCGCUCGAGGGGUCGCGAAAAGGACGGUCGGUCGGCCGGCCGGCCGCUCGCGUUCCGUUCCGAAGGGCGUUGGCCCGAAUUUUCCGCGCGCGCUACCUCCAACGCGGUUUCCACGCGCCGCGCGCGAAACGCGAUCGUGCUCGAGGAUGGAAUCGUGGCGAGGACGUGCACGCGCACGCAUCACCGGGGCCUCGUUGGAUGCGUGCGGUCAUGGUGUGAGUCAGGCAUCGAUUCCUUUCUUUCCUUUUCUUUUCUUCCUCCUUUUUCUUCUCGCUUCGAAUUUCGCGGAUGGAAAUUGUGCGAGCUUCGGACUUUCGGAUGCGUGAGUGUGUGUAUGGGUAUACGUGUGGGUGUGUGCGAGCGUGCGUGCGUAUGGAUGCAUCGUUCGGAUGUUGUCCACGGGGGGACAUAGAUGGCAGUGUGGUGGGUAUAUUGUUGUAGUUCGUGCACGAUUCUUUUUGCCCACUAAUUGUUCCGUCGAAGCUGUGCGUUUUGAUGUCUUUGAAUCGAAUUUGUGAAUUGGAUGAUUUCGUGCGGUUUCGUCUCGUGUUGCAUGGUCGUUUCUUUCUUUUUCUUUUUUUCGGAAGAAGAGCGUGCACGUGCAUGGUCGUCUGAACGUGAGUCGCGUCCGCUUCUGUGUUUUCACUUUUCUAAUCGUAUUCCCGACGUGUCGAUGCCUCGACCUCGAUUCCGAAAGCGUGUUGACGCGCACGAGCGCGUUUGUGAUAGCUGUGCCCCAAUGGAAUUUCGUGACAUAGUUCUUCUAGUUGUUCUCUUUGCUUUCUGUGCACUUUCUUUUCUCCAUACUCCGCGAAAUGCACGCGAAAAUUUUUGCCUGUUGCUCGAGCGAACGUCCGUCUGUCUUCUUGCCGUUUCCUUUGUGCAUUGUGCGAGCCGUAAAUUCUUGUAGAAUUCUUGUAAAAACGAUAAAGGAAUUAUCUCGAUUGUAUAUUCUUUUUUUUUUUUUUUGGCACCACUGGAAAUUAAUCGAAGAGGAAACACGACUAUUGGCCCUCUAAUCGUCGACGUUUGUACUAUUAACUUUUAUGGGGAAAAUGAAGUAACGAUAAAAUAAUAACUAAGAAGAUUCUCGCUUUCUUUGAGUGUACGGGUUAAUCGAAAAAUUACAAAAUUUCGUACAAAAGUUCGUAAACACCUGUCGAGGAAGAACGGACGGUAAAGUAGUUAAAUUUGUCGAAUGGAAACAAUACGAUAUUCGUGGAACGGGCGAUUAAAAAUCACGAAAUCGAUGCCGUGAAGCGAUUAAUUCACGGCUUUCUUCGGCUCGUAUUCCGGAUAUGCAUGCGGGAUCACGUCCGAUUUUAGUGGAGGUUUUCCGGCGUCACGUACGGUUCGGUGGCCGGGGCGAAAUUUCUAAUCCCCUCCGGCUUUAUAUAGUCAUGCCCGUACGGUUAUUCAUACGUGUCGUUGCUCGCUUGAUCACUUUGCGAUCGGCAUCGCGCAAUUAAUUCUCGAUUACUAUCCACUGUUGCAACGCCAUUACACUCGAUUCGUAUUCAAACCCGGGGGAUAAUUCUUCCCGUCGUUCAAAUCGAAUGGUAAUUUAAUGACUGGAUCGAUGCGCUGUAAAAUUUUCAAAGUGUAAUUUAGCGUAUCGGAAACGCGAGUGUACGCGCGUGUGACCGAACAUAACCUCGCUCGUAGCUUCGACGCCGAAAAUGGGCUGCGUGUGCCCAUAAAGUCUCGAGCAAAUUUCGUCUUUUUUUUCUUUUGGAUUAGAAGAUUGAAUUUUAAUAAAAGUAUCCGUUGUUUGUAAAGGAAUGCAAUUUAUUAGGAUUUAGGAUUUAAGACCGAGAAUUCGUUGUAGACUGGCUGUAAUAAAAAAAACUGAGCUUCUGUGUUGCAGAUCUCGCUACCUAGAAGAGACAAUGGCCGAAAAAGUGUGGUUGCAUAAGAUAGGCACAUUCGUGAUCUACCCUGUAGAUCCGGGCUUUUGUAGAAUUGUAAAUAUCAGAAGCUCGUCUCUACAGGUAUCUUACGGAUGACAUGCCACGCGACUCUAGAUUGCAAUGCAUGGCAACACAUUCGUGUAAAUCAUCCUGACGUUCUCUCAAGCUUUUCGAACGAUCCUAUAAGAAGACGUUUAGAGCUUUAGAAUCGAGUCAUCGGCUUUAUCUGCAAGCAAUACAUAGAGAAUUCUAAAGAAGAAUUAUCAUUUUUAGAUAGUAAAUACAUAGAUGUACAUCUACACACGCCACGCAAGAUAUCGUCUCAUAAAUUAUGUAUUUAACAAUAGUAUAUGCCGUAGCGUUCAUAGAUUUAAAAUGUUUUAAUUGUUUUUAAAUUAGGUUAUUUAAUUGUUAAUUAGAUUACUAAUUAGAUUAUAUGUUUGGAUAUGAAUUAAUAUGGACAAGUGUAAUAUAAAUAAAUAAAUAUUAUUUAUAUAAAAAAUUA